GGAUUCCCCUAGUAACUGUAAGCUGAAGCGGUGAAGAGCUACGACUAUAUUAAAAUCUGGCGUGCCUCUGGUCGUCCGAGUUGUAGUCUGGAGAAGCGUUUUCCGCGUUGGACCGUGUACAAGUCCCUUGGAAUAGGGCGUCGUAGAGGGUGAGAAUCCCGUCUUUGACACGGACUGCCAGUGCUCUGUGAUGCGCUCUCGAAGAGUCGAGUUGUUUGGGAAUGCAGCUCAAAACGGGUGGUAAAUUCCAUCUAAAGCUAAAUAUAGGCGAGAGACCGAUAGCGAACAAGUACCGUGAGGGAAAGAUGAAAAGCACUUUGGAAAGAGAGUUAAACAGUACGUGAAAUUGCUGAAAGGGAAACGCUUGAAGUCAGUCGCGUCCGCUAGGACUCAGCCUUGCUUUUUUGCUUGGUGCAAUUCUGGUGGAUGGGCCAGCAUCGAUUUUGACUGUUGAGAAAGUUGAGGGAAUGUGGCACCUUAGGGUGUGUUAUAGCCCUCUAUCGCAUACGACGGUUGGGAUCGAGGAUCGCAGCGCGCCCUUGUGCCGGGGUUUUUGCCCACGUUACGCGCUUAGGAUGCUGGCAUAAUGGCUUUAAGCGACCCGUCUUGAAACACGGACCAAGGAGUCUAACAUGCCUGCGAGUGUUUGGGUGGAAAACCCGAGCGCGCAAUGAAAGUGAUAGUUGAGACCUCUGUCAUGGAGGGCAUCGACGCCCGGACUUGAUCUACGGAGACGGUUCCGCGGUAGAGCAUGUAUGUUGGGACCCGAAAGAUGGUGAACUAUGCCUGAAUAGGGUGAAGCCAGAGGAAACUCUGGUGGAGGCUCGUAGCGAUUCCUCACGUGCGAAUCGAUCGUCGAAUUGGGUAUA
This 869-nucleotide ribosomal RNA is filed under the name Phellodon tomentosus. RNAcentral describes it as "eukaryotic LSU rRNA". It matches the Rfam family "Eukaryotic large subunit ribosomal RNA", at positions 72 to 919 of the family's 3401-position model. Lineage: Eukaryota; Fungi; Basidiomycota; Agaricomycetes; Thelephorales; Thelephoraceae. The record is from RNAcentral.